CAGCAGCCGCGGUAAUACAGAGGGUGCGAGCGUUAAUCGGAAUUACUGGGCGUAAAGCGCGCGUAGACGGUUUGGUAAGUCAGAUGUGAAAUCCCUGGGCUCAACCUGGGAACUGCAUUUGAUACUGCCUGGCUAGAGUAUCGAAGAGGGAAGUGGAAUUUCCGGUGUAGCGGUGAAAUGCGUAGAUAUCGGAAGGAACACCUGUGGCGAAAGCGACUUCCUGGUCAAAUACUGACGUUCAUGUGCGAAAGCGUGGGGAGCAAACAGGAUUAGAUACCCCAGUAGUCCCUGUCUCUUAUAC
This 301-nucleotide ribosomal RNA is filed under the name uncultured bacterium. RNAcentral's name for it is "partial 16S ribosomal RNA". It matches the Rfam family "Bacterial small subunit ribosomal RNA", at positions 509 to 807 of the family's 1533-position model. The record is from RNAcentral.